GUACGGGAGGCAGCAGUGGGGAAUCUUCCGCAAUGGGCGAAAGCCUGACGGAGCAACGCCGCGUGAGUGAAGAAGGCCUUCGGGUUGUAAAGCUCUGUCUUCAGGGACGAACACAAUGACGGUACCUGAGGAGGAAGCCACGGCUAACUACGUGCCAGCAGCCGCGGUAAUACGUAGGUGGCAAGCGUUGUCCGGAAUUACUGGGCGUAAAGGGCGCGUAGGCGGGUAUUUAAGUCAGAUGUGAAACCUCCCGGCUUAACCGGGAGCUUGCAUCUGAUACUGGAUAUCUUGAGUGCAGGAGAGGACAGUGGAAUUCCUAGUGUAGCGGUGAAAUGCGUAGAUAUUAGGAGGAACACCAGUGGCGAAGGCGGCUGUCUGGACUGUAACUGACGCUGAGGCGCGAAAGCGUGGGGAGCAAACAGGAUUAGAUACCCCGGU
RNAcentral lists this ribosomal RNA (438 nucleotides) under uncultured bacterium. Its description in RNAcentral is "bacterial SSU rRNA". It matches the Rfam family "Bacterial small subunit ribosomal RNA", at positions 339 to 791 of the family's 1533-position model. The record is from RNAcentral.